This 226-nucleotide unclassified non-coding RNA is filed under the name fungal sp. Its description in RNAcentral is "partial internal transcribed spacer region". The stretch from base 1 to 46 matches the Rfam family "Eukaryotic small subunit ribosomal RNA", at positions 1786 to 1831 of the family's 1831-position model. The record is from RNAcentral. Lineage: Eukaryota; Fungi.
AAGUCGUAACAAGGUUUCCGUAGGUGAACCUGCGGAAGGAUCAUCAAAAAAAUGAAUAAAAGCCGUUCGAUGUCCCUUCUCGGGUGCCGCGGCCAGGCCUCCAUUGGUCUGAACUCUUCUUGAGCAGAGCUCUGAUCACAUUUCGUGCGAUGGUGGUCCACCCCUCUGUGAGGUGACCACCAGCCAUUGAAAAACACAACUUUUGACAACGGAUCUCUUGGCUCUC